AUGUAUGUAAAAUUUCCGUUUUGUCAGUUUCACCGGAUUCAUCCCCAUCAUGCAGAAACAGAAGUUUCCAGCAGAUGGCGCCAGAGGCCGUCUUUUCUCCGCCUCCCCGCGCGCUCCUCGCCGUUUCCGGAUCAGCACGUUCUCUCGAGAAAACGACAUUUCUCUGUCCGCGCCAGGCGCGCGCCGCAGCGGAAAACCCCAGCAAGACGCCUGGCAAGCAGCACAGCCCCAAGGGUUGCAGCCCUGGGCGUAAGACCAGCCGCCAGGAAUCCCGGCUUCCAAAUAGUUGAUGGGUUUCGCGCCAGCUCCGCUUUGAAGCAGCGGCCCUGCAGGACCGGGGGUCAGGCUCGUCCCUCCCACGGACCCCCGUGGAAGCAGCUGCCCAGACGUCUUGAGAAGGCUGGGCCUGAAAUAUGAAGAUUACUUAAAACUCAUACUAUGCCAGAACAUGGACAUCACAACAAAUUGGGUAAUGAGUGUCAACUCAAAGACUAUUUAAGAUUAAUUGUUGCACAAGAAAACCUGAAAUGCCCUGGAAGCUUAUGGACCAUAAAUGAAAGAAAAGUUCAGCACAACGUCCUCAAGCUUGAAAAGAAUCCUAAGACUUCAAGACUAACAAAGAGAUGUGAAGCCAAAACUCUCCUGAACUUUAAUAACAAAAACAAGGUGUGAUAAUUGUGCAAGUGAGAUGAACUAUUUUUCUAUUCCCUCUACAGGAAGAUAUUAUUGCAGAAUCAUUAUUUUUGCUGUUGUUUGUUUUAUUUUUUAUUUUUAUUUUUAGAGACAGGGCCCCCCUCCCCCAGGCUGGAGUACACGAUCAUAGCUCACUAUGGCCUCGAACUCAUGGGCUGCAGUGACCCUCCAACCUCAGCCUCCCCAGUAGCUAGGACUAUAGGGCAGGCAGAAUCAUUCUUCUGUGAAGAGAGAUAUAUACAGCCCAAAAAAUGCAGAGAAAGGAUGUUUAGAGGUACCUCGGGCAAUUUCUAAGCAAAAAUAUUGCAUUAUUCUUUUGAGUUUUAUGAUAUUCGUAGUAUUGGUCAGUUUCUGAAACUUCAUAAUUUGUUCCAAAUAAAUUUCUUGUUCUAAAUAAAUAUUCACUUUAGUACUGAGUUUCAUAUAUGUAAUUUUAUUUUUUCUUUCCUUAAAGAGGAUCUCCAGUAUUGAAUAAGGUUUCGGGCCCCACAAGAAUGGGAUCUAGCCCGGCCUCUGGAACGGCAUUCUCGGCACUGCUUCAAAUGGGUGUCCCUCACCUUCAUUGCAUUUGCCCCGCCCUGGGGCCAUAGGUAAAGCCUUUCUUCCAUUGUUCACCAAAGCCUGGAGACUUCAGCCGCUAUCAAUGGCUAUGCAUGUUUUAUGCCCAGGGACACCUGUGGUGCAACCAUCAUAGCUAAUUUUCCCUGCAGUGCACAAAUCUUACUCUCUUGAAAGCCAGAUGUAGUCAGUUCUCAGUCCCUUUGAUGUAAUGAAGUUACGCGUGUGCAACCAGCCUCCUCUUCUUGUUUGAGCUCCUUGAAACACUGCUUUUUCUGGAAAGGAAAACGGGAACCUAAUAGGAAGAACAUCAACCAUUAUCAGGCAGCUUAAAUGCCUUUGCAAGAACUCCUGGUAAUAAGAACUGGAUCUAAUUUUCCCCUCUGAAACUUGAGCAAACCACUCACCAUGACUUUCCGGAGCAGGGUAUGAUUUUUUGGGGGGUAGGGGGUAGGGGACACAGCCUCACUAUGUCACCCAGGCUGGAGUGCAGUGGCGUGAUCUCAGCUCACUGCAACAUCUGUCUCCUGAGUUCAAGCAAUUCUCCUGCCUCAGCCUCCUGAGUAGCUGGAAUUAAAGGUGUGUGCCACCAGGCCUGGCUAAUUUUUGUAGUUUUAGUAGAGAUGGGGUUUCACCAUGUUGGCCAGGCUGGUCUCAAACCCAUGACCUCAUGAUCCACCCACCUGUGUUUCCCAAAGUGAUGGGAUUACAGGUGUGAGCCACCAUGCCCUGCCAAGGAUAUGAUGUUAACAUGCCUAGGAUUCCUCUAUAGCAACAAUUUCAUUCUGUUUUCAGGCGAAUAGGAUAGUCUAUGUUCUUGACCUUUUAUACUAAAUUUCCUUUUGUACCCCAGAUCCACUUAAUAUCAAAGUUUUAAUGAAAUUAUUGAAUCAUGAAUAGAGCAUUCUGAGCAACUCUAGGAGGGUUACACCAUCUGCCUGUUUGCUUAGGUACUAGUUAAGGAUUAUCCUAGAUUUGAAGUUUAUUAUAAAUAAUCCCACUGGAACUACCUGCUUGAAUUAAAAUCUGAUUUUUCUUAUGACUGGAGGGGUGAAAACAGCCUAAGACAGAUUUAUGGUGAUAGUUGUACAACUUGGUGAAGUUACUGAAAAUCACUGACUUGUACACUUUGAAAUGAGUGAACUUUGAUUCGAUAAUGUUUUUAAAAAAUCUGACAUGCUUGAUGGUCUUUCAAUUUAGGGAUUACAAAACAAGAGCAAAAAAAAAAGACAUAAAAUUCAUGUAUAUCUCACAAAAAGUACAAUUUGUUAGUUAAAAUAGGAACUUUUUAAACAUCCUGGCUUUUACAUAAGAAUAAUCGUAGCCUGCAAAACCCUCUUAUCACUUAUGCUAACCUACUCCUUGAAUCUCAGCAUUCCUGAAAACUUUGAAACUCUUAGCAUUCAAAUUUUAAGAUUGUGACUUAAACCAAAAACCUCACAAGAAAUGUUGACUUUGUCCUGAGUGGCUAAGAACAAGAUUUCCAGCCAGUGACUCAGUUGUUUAUUCAGUGAUGAACCCAACACCUAAUAUGUGCUGAUCAUGGGAGUGAAGAGAUAACUGUGUGUUUCUAUCACUUUAGGUUUGGUAAAGCAGCACUUGUCACUGAGUAGAGCAAACAAAGUCUUUUAUGGGCAUUAUUCAGAGACUAAGAGCCACAUGACCCUCAGUUUUCAAAGCUGGAAUUUUUAGAAUUCUACUGUAACUGCUGGGGUAGUUUCCUCUAACAACGUACAACUCUGAAUGUAAAUAAGUCCAGUCUGAUGAUAGGAUUCUCUGCUAUUAGGUAAAGGUUUCCUUUCUUUUUUGAGAUGGAGUCUAGCUCUGUUGCCCAGGCUGGACUGCAAUGGUGCAAACUUGGCUCGGUGCAAUCUCCACCUCCUGGGUUCAAGCGAUUCUCAUGCCUCAGCCUCCCAAGCAGCUGGGAUUACAGCUGCCCGCCACCAUGCCCAGCUAAUUUUUAAAAAUAUUUUUAGUAGAGACGGGGUUUCACUGUGCUGACCAGGCUGGUCUCGAACUCCUGACCUCAUGAUUCGCCCGCCUCAGCCUCCCAAAGUGCUGGGACUAAAAGCGUGAACCACUGUGCCUGGCAAGCUUUUCAUUUUUUAAGGAGCCUGCUCUCCUUAGUUGACUGACAUUCCUUCUGGCUAGUGUGUUCUGUCUGGGAGCCUCUAUUAAUAUUCUAGAUUGAGCAGGCUAUGGCUGGUUAUACGGUUCCUAAUGAGAAUUGAUUUCUAUAGCUGGGACCAGCAGAACCAAACAGUACAAAGUGUUCCUUCCCAGGGAAAUACUAGCAUGGAUUUGGUUGUUGAAACGAGCUACUCGCCACCUUGGAAAUUCUAGUCCUCUGAAGUGGAACACAGACAGAUAUGUUUUAUUGGCAGGAAGCAUGGGAGGGGUCUGUUUGCUCAUUUCAACUGCACAAGUCAUUGAUUUUCAGUAAAUUCACCAAGUCAUGCAACUAUCACCAUCAAUCUGUGUUAGACUGUUUUCAUCCCUGCAGUCAUAAAAUGGAAAUCAGACCUUAUUUCAAGCAGGUAGCCCCAAUUAGCUUGCCUUCCUUUCCUUCCCUAAAUAUUUAAAAGGAAACAGAAAAGAAUUCCUGAUGGCAGAUAAUAAAAAAGAUAAUCUCAUGCAAAUGUGAUAUCCAUUUUCCAAAAAGUUAAUUUUCAACCUUUUUUUUUUUUUUGAGAUGGAGUCACCUAGGCUGGAGUGCAAUAGCAUGAUCUUGGCUCACUGCAGCUUCCACUUCUAGGGUUCAUGCAAUUCUCCCGCCUCAGUCUCCUGAGUAGCUGGGAUUACAGGCACGUGCCAUCAUGCCCAGCUAAUUUUUGUAUUUUUGUAAAGAUAGGAUUUCACCAUGUUGCCCAGACUGGUCUAGAACUCCAGACUUUAGGUGAUCCACCUGCCUUGGUCUCCCAAAGUGCUGGGAUUACAGGCGUGAGCCACCGCAGGCAGCCAAUUUUCAACUUUUAAUGACAUGUAUAAACCAGUCUGGGAAGAUAUAUAACAGUAUGGGAAGAUAUUCGUCCCUGUCUGGACUUCCAGGAUGGGCACCCUCUUUUUCCACUUGGGAAAUUCCCUUUUUGAAGGGAACAAAGUAGAAGCUCCUACCACAGAAGCAGCAGGUGCCAGGGCGUCAUGCUCCUGGGAUGGAUGAGAGCGCACGGCCUAGGCUCUGCUAAUCAAGUGCCCCUGCUCCAGACUUUGAAUUGGAAGUUUGUGACUUAAGGAAGCAUGGACCGCAUCAUCUAUUCGAGUGAGGGGUUCACUUAUCCAAACCCUUUAUACCCUCUUCCCUUUGUCCCUACUACAGAGGCUGCACAUGCCAAAUGAGUGCUUUCUUGGGUUCCCUUGUAGCUCUAGAAGGCUUAUGGCCCACUCUGGCCAGAGAUAGAAGUGGAGGCCUGACGGAAUUUUUUUGGUAAAACCUUGUCCUGAUACAGGAGUCACUCCUUCUGUCUUCUUCCAAUUUCUGCUUUUAAUGCAAAUGUAAUGGCUGGAGCUAGAGCAGCCAUCUUGCAACCACAAGAGGAC
RNAcentral lists this long non-coding RNA (4788 nucleotides) under Callithrix jacchus (white-tufted-ear marmoset). RNAcentral's name for it is "lncRNA (ENSCJAG00000080574.1)". The record is from RNAcentral. Lineage: Eukaryota; Metazoa; Chordata; Mammalia; Primates; Cebidae.